Cinara cedri is the source of this 2201-nucleotide non-coding RNA. The record is from the annotation of a GenBank genome assembly. Lineage: Eukaryota; Metazoa; Arthropoda; Insecta; Hemiptera; Aphididae.
UAUAAUUAUACUAAAUCGGUUUUACAGAUUGAAGGUAUCAAUUCGUCACCUUAAAAAUCGAUUAUCGUCUUCACCUUUUCUCUAUUGAACAACGCCAGAUUUCAACAACAACCGUUCCAUUCCAUCGGAAUUGAUUCAAGCAACUAAAUAUACCGAUUUGGUAACAGUUUUCGUCACGUAUUAUAAUGAAGUUGAUGUUUUUAAUUAGUUCCCUAUGUUAUUUUAUAUUACUGUAUGUAUUUUCUACAAAUGCCGACGUCCGGUGUGGCCAGGAUUGUUUUCCAAGUACCGAUUUAUCCUACCCCGAGUACUGUAUUAGUAACCCUGAAAAAAAAAAUAUAUGUAAAGGAAAACCAGGAUGUUCAUGUUGUUGCCACUAACUAAAAUUCAUUUUUAAAAAUACAUCUUUAUAAAUAAUAGGUAAAUAAAAUAUAAUUAAUUUCCAAAAAUUAAAAUAUUUCAAUUCCUUUAUACAUUAUUAGUGCAACUCCUUUUACUCAAUUAAUAGAUCCUGUAUUUCACAUUAAAAAAUCUUUACCAAACUGACAAAAUUAAUUACUUAAAUAAUAUUAUAAGAGAGUGAGAUUUGUUGAUACAAUUUGAAAACUUUUAUUAUUUUUAUAAUGGCGGUAAAUAUAUUUUUUAGGGUUACAUCUUAUUCAGUAGCCAAUUUUGACUAAUAAUUAUAUUUAUUUUUUUUUCACACAAUAUAUAGUAUUAAAUUUGUUCAUUUAAAAUGUUACAACUAGCAUCAUGGUGUGGUAUGUAGUUACAUUCUAUGGGUUAAUUGUUACACUAUAGAUUACGUGUAAAUGCUUACUUUAAUCAUGUACCGAUAUAGCGAAAAAUAGGUUGUAUUUAACAAAUUGUAAUCAAUUGUAAUGGCUUAAAAAUCCAAUGUACAAAUGUUUUAAAAACCUUGUGUUAUUUUUUUUAAUAAAUAUUAAUUUAGCAAACGAACAACUGUCUAAUACUUUUUCAAAAUUAACAUUUUAACAAUCUUGUAACGGUUAAACCUUCUUUUAUCAGGUUUAAUUACAAAUUUUAUACUCUCUCCCUCUUCUAACCGUAUUAUUUAUCUAGAUAAAUUAUAUGGUUCUAUACAUUUUUUAUCUAAAUUGGGUAAAUAUAUAAAAAAAAAUUUCGUUGAUCACGCACAAUGCCUGUAUGUAAUAGAACGUUAAAUUUAUUUUAAUUUUAAUAAUUUGUAAAACUUAUUUUAAACUUUUCAUUGUUAUAACUAUUUAUCUGAGAAAAUGUAAUUAGCAGUGGCAUGAAAGUAAUAAAAAUGUAUUUCGGCAAAAAUAAUUCCGAGAGGCCAGAAUAGCUAAACACAGGCCAUUUCAUUCCCAAAGUUAUGGUUAUCAUAGAUUUUUAUAUCUGUAAUCAAGUACUUGUUCGGUUUGGAAAUUAAACAUUCGCCCCAAAAUUUAUCCAAACUGAGUUAGCUGCACGUAUAACUUUUAAAAGAAGAAUCAGACCAAGGUCCGACUUUAACAUAGGAUUCGGCAUCACUGGUAAUAGGUACUUACACUUUUCCUUUACUAUCAUUUAUCUGACAUAGAAAAUAAAAUGCCGCGUUUUAUAAAAAGGUGAAUAAUUAUUUAAACACAUGUCUGUAAAUAAUGCUCCCUACUAAUAAAAUUACAUUAUCAUUUAGGUAUAUUCGAUGAUUUAUUUUUUUGUUACGAAACAUAAACACGUAAUCUACAUUGAAAACUAUAAUUCUACUGAACCAGUUUUACAAAGAGACGGUACCUAUCCAUCAACUCGUGUCCUCGAACAGCAAUUAUCGUCUCCGAAAUUUCUCCAUUGACCAGCGCCAAACUUCAAUCAACAUCCGUUCAAUUCGAUCGGAAUUGAUUUAGGCAACUGAAUACACUAAUUUGGUAAAAUUAUUCGUCAAGUGUUAUAAUAAAGUUGACGUUUAUAAUUAGUUUCCUAUUUUAUAUUAUAUCACUGUAUGUAUUUUCAACGAAUGGCGAAGGCUAUUGUGGCCCAGAUUGUAGUCCGGAUAUCGAAGAUUCUAACGGUGAUCUCUGUUAUUAUAACCCUGAUAAACCAAAUAUAUGUCCUGGAAAAAGAGGGUGUUUAUGUUGUUGCGCUCCUAAAUAACUGUGUUAAAAAUACUAACUUAUUAAAUUAUAAUUCAAAAAAUGUGUAUAAUUUUCAAUAACUGUAUCCUACUUGUAUGUAAGUAC